GAUGCGUUGUUGGGUAGGGGAGCGUUCUGUAAGCCUGCGAAGGUGUGCUGUGAGGCAUGCUGGAGGUAUCAGAAGUGCGAAUGCUGACAUAAGUAACGAUAAAGCGGGUGAAAAGCCCGCUCGCCGGAAGACCAAGGGUUCCUGUCCAACGUUAAUCGGGGCAGGGUGAGUCGACCCCUAAGGCGAGGCCGAAAGGCGUAGUCGAUGGGAAACAGGUUAAUAUUCCUGUACUUGGUGUUACUGCGAAGGGGGGACGGAGAAGGCUAUGUUGGCCGGGCGACGGUUGUCCCGGUUUAAGCGUGUAGGCUGGUUUUCCAGGCAAAUCCGGAAAAUCAAGGCUGAGGCGUGAUGACGAGGCACUACGGUGCUGAAGCAACAAAUGCCCUGCUUCCAGGAAAAGCCUCUAAGCAUCAGGUAACAUCAAAUCGUACCCCAAACCGACACAGGUGGUCAGGUAGAGAAUACCAAGGCGCUUGAGAGAACUCGGGUGAAGGAACUAGGCAAAAUGGUGCCGUAACUUCGGGAGAA
This 528-nucleotide ribosomal RNA is filed under the name Escherichia coli. RNAcentral describes it as "partial 23S ribosomal RNA". It matches the Rfam family "Bacterial large subunit ribosomal RNA", at positions 1215 to 1744 of the family's 2925-position model. The record is from RNAcentral. Lineage: Bacteria; Pseudomonadati; Pseudomonadota; Gammaproteobacteria; Enterobacterales; Enterobacteriaceae.